CUGGAGGACUAAGAAGACUGAGUCUGAUGAAGCAAGACUCUGCUGAUAUAAUCCUCCUAGACAAAAGGGGUGGGAGAGAGCAGCCCUUAUGGAGAGCAGACUAGGAUGUCAGCCCAGCAAAU
Molecule: small nucleolar RNA, 122 nt
Filed under: Echinops telfairi (small Madagascar hedgehog)
Lineage: Eukaryota; Metazoa; Chordata; Mammalia; Afrosoricida; Tenrecidae
Description: Small Cajal body specific RNA 15 (ENSETEG00000025955.1)
Rfam family: Small Cajal body specific RNA 4
About the family: scaRNAs are a specific class of small nuclear RNAs which localise to the Cajal bodies and guide the modification of RNA polymerase II transcribed spliceosomal RNAs U1, U2, U4, U5 and U12. ACA26 belongs to the H/ACA box class of guide RNAs as it has the predicted hairpin-hinge-hairpin-tail structure, conserved H/ACA-box motifs and is found associated with GAR1.
Source: RNAcentral